UACACUCCUACGGGAGGCAGCAGUGGGGAAUUUUGGACAAUGGGCGAAAGCCUGAUCCAGCAAUGCCGCGUGAGUGAAGAAGGCCUUCGGGUUGUAAAGCUCUUUUGUCAGGGAAGAAACGGUGAAAGCUAAUAUCUUUUGCUAAUGACGGUACCUGAAGAAUAAGCACCGGCUAACUACGUGCCAGCAGCCGCGGUAAUACGUAGGGUGCAAGCGUUAAUCGGAAUUACUGGGCGUAAAGCGUGCGCAGGCGGUUUUGUAAGUCUGAUGUGAAAUCCCCGGGCUCAACCUGGGAAUUGCAUUGGAGACUGCAAGGCUAGAAUCUGGCAGAGGGUGGUAGAAUUCCACGUGUAGCAGUGAAAUGCGUAGAUAUGUGGAGGAACACCGAUGGCGAAGGCAGCCCCCUGGGUCAAGAUUGACGCUCAUGCACGAAAGCGUGGGGAGCAAACAGGAUUAGAAACCCGAGUAGUCCCAUGAU
Molecule: ribosomal RNA, 478 nt
Filed under: uncultured organism
Description: partial 16S ribosomal RNA
Rfam family: Bacterial small subunit ribosomal RNA
Source: RNAcentral